GUUAGGAAUAUUGGACAAUGGGCGCAAGCCUGAUCCAGCCAUGCCGCGUGAACGAUGAAGGCCUUCGGGUUGUAAAGUUCUUUAGCCGAUGAUUAUAAUGACUGUAGUCGGAAAAUAAGCCCCGGCUAACUUCGUGCCAGCAGCCGCGGUAAUACGAAGGGGGCGAGCGUUAUUCGGAAUCACUGGGCGUAAAGCGUGCGUAGGCGGUCUCGUAAGUUAGGAGUGAAAGCCCAGGGCUCAACAUUGGAAUUGCUCUUAAAACUGCAAGGCUAGAAUCUCGGAGAGGAUAGCGGAAUUUCCAGUGUAGCAGUGAAAUGCGUAGAUAUUGGAAGGAACACCAGUGGCGUAAGCGGCUAUCUGGACGAGUAUUGACGCUGAGGCACGAAAGCGUGGGGAUCAAACAGGAUUAGAAACCCGUGUAGUCC
RNAcentral lists this ribosomal RNA (425 nucleotides) under uncultured bacterium. RNAcentral describes it as "partial 16S ribosomal RNA". It matches the Rfam family "Bacterial small subunit ribosomal RNA", at positions 354 to 796 of the family's 1533-position model. The record is from RNAcentral.